CUGGGUAAUGAUUUUUUUUUAAAUAUCGAUUUAAGUUGAAAUGAUAUGACAUAUUUUUAGUAGGAACAGCAACUGGACGUCAUAGGUCAAACGUUGACGUCAUUCGAAUUGUGACGUCAUGCCAGGUAUGCGAUACGGGAUUGCUAUGCGAUACGGGGUAUGCGAUACGGGUUUAGCCAUGCGAUACGGGGUAUGCGAUACAGGGUAGGUG
RNAcentral lists this long non-coding RNA (211 nucleotides) under Mytilus galloprovincialis (Mediterranean mussel). The record is from RNAcentral. Lineage: Eukaryota; Metazoa; Mollusca; Bivalvia; Mytilida; Mytilidae.